Molecule: ribosomal RNA, 365 nt
Filed under: uncultured soil bacterium
Lineage: Bacteria
Description: bacterial SSU rRNA
Rfam family: Bacterial small subunit ribosomal RNA
Source: RNAcentral
AGAACGAACGCUGGCGGCAUGCCUAACACAUGCAAGUCGAACGAUCUCUUCGGAGAUAGUGGCGCACGGGUGCGUAACGCGUGGGAAUCUGCCCUUGGGUUCGGAAUAACAGUUGGAAACGACUGCUAAUACCGGAUGAUGACGUUAAGUCCAAAGAGUUUAUCGCCCAGGGAUGAGCCCGCGUAGGAUUAGCUAGUUGGUGAGGUAAAGCUCACCAAGGCGACGAUCCUUAGCUGGUCUGAGAGGAUGAUCAGCCACACUGGGACUGAGACACGGCCCAGACUCCACGGGAGCAGCAGGUGGGAAUAUGGACAAGUGGGCGAAAGCCUAGGAUCCGAGACAAUCGACCGCGGUGAGUGAUGGAA